RNAcentral lists this transfer RNA (63 nucleotides) under Geloina coaxans. Its description in RNAcentral is "tRNA-Val". The record is from RNAcentral. Lineage: Eukaryota; Metazoa; Mollusca; Bivalvia; Venerida; Cyrenidae.
UGGAAAGUAGCAUAUAAAGUGUGUUUUGUUUACACCAAAAAGGAGAUGGUAAGUUCUUUCUAU